RNAcentral lists this long non-coding RNA (1303 nucleotides) under Homo sapiens (human). Its description in RNAcentral is "HSALNT0168624". Lineage: Eukaryota; Metazoa; Chordata; Mammalia; Primates; Hominidae. The record is from RNAcentral.
GGGAUAUCCUUACAAUGCAUCUGGAGGUAGAAGACAGAAAAGAGACUAAGAGCGGGGAAUAGACUCAACCAUUCUAGAAUACAGCCCGGAUGUGUUACAGGAUCCUGCCCUGGAGUCCUCGCGCAAUCAAUGUUUAUGCUGUGCUCUGCUGGGCUGUGCUGGGCUGGCCUGGGCUGUGCUGUGCUGUGCUGUGCUGUGCUGUGCUGUGCUGUGCUGUGCUGGGCUGUGCUGGGUUGUGCUAGGCGGUACUAGGUGUUGCUAGGCUCCUGCCCCAUCACAAAUGGUUGCAACAAGAUUGAUUAGAAAGGGUACCAUUAGAUUCAGCUGACUGGUUCAAUUAGGAGAAAGGUUCAUCACUCUUAACACAUCAAAUCUCCCCCUAUGUCAGUCUUUCACUGACAUCAGGGGCUGGGCUUCUGUCUCCUCUUCUCUUCUCUGAUCAUUGCCUGUGCAGAAGACAUGGAACUUUUGUCUGUUCAUUAAUAGAGUCCAGUGGUAAGUUUUCCCAGGCCAGCCCUGGUGGUCAAAUGCUCUGGAUUCGAUGCCUAUCCAUUCUCUCCUCACCCUGCAACCACCGGUCCCCAAUUCCUACAAGUCUGGAGCUGGUUUCAAGUUCAUGAAUGUGACCUAGAGAGUAGCAACCUCCCAGCCUCCGGCAUAACCCAUGUUCUCUCUGACUCUGCUUGGGCCACGUGGAUAAUAAAUCUGGCUCCUCCUUGAAGCAGCCACUCACCCAUCAGCAUGGGCAGCCAUGCAAAUUUUCCUGCAGAUUUCACAGGGGAGACAGAGCAGUUUGUAAGUUGCAUGCUCCACAGCACACAGCCUUAAUCCCCUUGUUUGAUUUUUAAAAUUCUCCCCAAGGCGCACCUUGAUUGCUUUGCCUCUGGGACUCUUCCUUUCUGACCUGGCCCUUUGACAUCUUUUAAUUCCUCUCAUUCAUGCCUUUCUUGAUUAAAAGAAGAAGAGAAAAAAAGCUAGAUCUGGAGUGUGAAGCUUGAGAUUCUUUUUUUCUGUUCUGUAAAAUGGGGAUGAUAAUAAUUCCUACCUCAUAAGGUGAGAGGGAGAAUUAAAUGAGAAUUAAGUAAAUAUAAACUCUAAAGUAAUGUUUUGCAAAUAUGACCCAUGAAAUCAAUUUAAUGGGUUGCUACCUGCAUUAACAUGAAGUAAAAAAGAAUAGAAAAUAUCAGAGUGUAUUGCAUGUAGUAAGCAUAAGUUUUGUGAGUCUUUUCUUCUGAUUUUGUAUGUGUAUGUGCAUGUGUGUGUAUGUGUGUGUGACCACUGGCAAUGUAAAAUGGACUCUGCU